UACAGAGGGUGCAAGCGUUAAUCGGAAUUACUGGGCGUAAAGCGUGCGCAGAUGGUUGCGUAAGUCAGAUGUGAAAGCCCCGGGCUCAACCUGGGAAUUGCAUUUGAGACUGCGUAGCUAGGGUGCGGAAGAGGGAAGCGGAAUUUCCGGUGUAGCGGUGAAAUGCGUAGAUAUCGGAAGGAACACCAGUGGCGAAAGCGGCUUCCUGGUCCAGCACCGACGUUCAGGCACGAAA
RNAcentral lists this ribosomal RNA (235 nucleotides) under uncultured bacterium. Its description in RNAcentral is "partial 16S ribosomal RNA". It matches the Rfam family "Bacterial small subunit ribosomal RNA", at positions 524 to 758 of the family's 1533-position model. The record is from RNAcentral.